UACGUAGGGUGCAAGCGUUGUCCGGAAUUAUUGGGCGUAAAGAGCUCGUAGGCGGUCUGUCGCGUCUGGUGUGAAAACUCAAGGCUUAACCUUGGGCCUGCAUCGGGUACGGGCAGACUAGAGUGAUGUAGGGGAGACUGGAAUUCCUGGUGUAGCGGUGAAAUGCGCAGAUAUCAGGAGGAACACCGAUGGCGAAGGCAAUCCCCUGGGCCUGUACUGACGCUCAUGCACGAAAGCGUGGGGAGCAAACAGG
RNAcentral lists this ribosomal RNA (253 nucleotides) under uncultured bacterium. RNAcentral's name for it is "partial 16S ribosomal RNA". It matches the Rfam family "Bacterial small subunit ribosomal RNA", at positions 524 to 776 of the family's 1533-position model. The record is from RNAcentral.